This 53-nucleotide small RNA is filed under the name Salix viminalis (osier). Lineage: Eukaryota; Viridiplantae; Streptophyta; Magnoliopsida; Malpighiales; Salicaceae. The record is from RNAcentral.
UGGCUCACGUGCUGAAAUUUUUACCAAGCAUAACAGACAUAACCACUCAGUCA